Molecule: small nucleolar RNA, 137 nt
Organism: Melanotaenia boesemani (Boeseman's rainbowfish)
Lineage: Eukaryota; Metazoa; Chordata; Actinopteri; Atheriniformes; Melanotaeniidae
Source: RefSeq, a predicted model, not a curated record
ACAGGCUCCAAUCGAAGCCGUUCAUGUUUCCACGUAACAGCGAACGGUCAAUAGGAAGCCAAGAUGAAGACUUCCACCGACGGUCGCUGUUCAGUUCAAAUGUAACUGUUUCAGCAACAUUUAGGGGAAGGACACUG